UACGUAGGUGGCAAGCGUUGUCCGGAAUUACUGGGCGUAAAGAAUGCGUAGGCGGCUUUUUAAGUGGGAUGUGAAAUCCCUGGGCUCAACCCAGGAACUGCAUUCCAAACUGGAAAGCUAGAGUGCGGGAGAGGAAAUUGGUAUUCCCAGUGUAGCGGUGAAAUGCGUAGAGAUUGGGAGGAACACCAGUAGCGAAGGCGAAUUUCUGGAACGUAACUGACGCUGAGGCAUGAAAGCGUGGGGAGCAAACAGG
RNAcentral lists this ribosomal RNA (253 nucleotides) under uncultured bacterium. RNAcentral's name for it is "partial 16S ribosomal RNA". It matches the Rfam family "Bacterial small subunit ribosomal RNA", at positions 524 to 776 of the family's 1533-position model. The record is from RNAcentral.